Molecule: non-coding RNA, 80 nt
Filed under: Bacillus sp. (in: firmicutes)
Lineage: Bacteria; Bacillati; Bacillota; Bacilli; Caryophanales; Bacillaceae
Also listed under: 1 other name
Description: Bacillus sp. ZTP sequence
Rfam family: ZMP/ZTP riboswitch aptamer (pfl RNA motif)
About the family: Previously known as pfl RNA.
Source: RNAcentral
UCUGGUAUGUGCGACUGGCGUAAACGUGGAUAACCACGAGGAAGCACUUAUUUAUAUCGCCGUACGCCUGGGCAAAGUAU